AUUGAACGCUGGCGGCAGGCCUAACACAUGCAAGUCGAGCGGAUGAAGGGAGCUUGCUCCCUGAUUUAGCGGCGGACGGGUGAGUAAUGCCUAGGAAUCUGCCUGGUAGUGGGGGACAACGUUUCGAAAGGAACGCUAAUACCGCAUACGUCCUACGGGAGAAAGUGGGGGAUCUUCGGACCUCACGCUAUCAGUUGAGCCUAGGUCGGAUUAGCUAGUUGGUGAGGUAAAGGCUCACCAAGGCGACGAUCCGUAACUGGUCUGAGAGGAUGAUCAGUCACACUGGAACUGAGACACGGUCCAGACUCCUACGGGAGGCAGCAGUGGGGAAUAUUGGACAAUGGGCGAAAGCCUGAUCCAGCCAUGCCGCGUGUGUGAAGAAGGUCUUCGGAUUGUAAAGCACUUUAAGUUGGGAGGAAGGGCAGUAAGUUAAUACCUUGCUGUUUUGACGUUACCAACAGAAUAAGCACCGGCUAACUUCGUGCCAGCAGCCGCAGUAA
Molecule: ribosomal RNA, 500 nt
Filed under: uncultured bacterium
Lineage: Bacteria
Description: partial 16S ribosomal RNA
Rfam family: Bacterial small subunit ribosomal RNA
Source: RNAcentral